CUGAAACCGUGUACGUACAAGCAGUGGGAGCACGCUUAGGCGUGUGACUGCGUACCUUUUGUAUAAUGGGUCAGCGACUUAUAUUCUGUAGCAAGGUUAACCGAAUAGGGGAGCCGAAGGGAAACCGAGUCUUAACUGGGCGUUAAGUUGCAGGGUAUAGACCCGAAACCCGGUGAUCUAGCCAUGGGCAGGUUGAAGGUUGGGUAACACUAACUGGAGGACCGAACCGACUAAUGUUGAAAAAUUAGCGGAUGACUUGUGGCUGGGGGUGAAAGGCCAAUCAAACCGGGAGAUAGCUGGUUCUCCCCGAAAGCUAUUUAGGUAGCGCCUCGUGAAUUCAUCUCCGGGGGUAGAGCACUGUUUCGGCAAGGGGGUCAUCCCGACUUACCAACCCGAUGCAAACUGCGAAUACCGGAGAAUGUUAUCACGGGAGACACACGGCGGGUGCUAACGUCCGUCGUGAAGAGGGAAACAACCCAGACCGCCAGCUAAGGUCCCAAAGUCAUGGUUAAGUGGGAAACGAUGUGGGAAGGCCCAGACAGCCAGGAUGUUGGCUUAGAAGCAGCCAUCAUUUAAAGAAAGCGUAAUAGCUCACUGGUCGAGUCGGCCUGCGCGGAAGAUGUAACGGGGCUAAACCAUGCACCGAAGCUGCGGCAGCGACGCUGAUGCGUUGUUGGGUAGGGGAGCGUUCUGUAAGCCUGUGA
This 704-nucleotide ribosomal RNA is filed under the name Escherichia coli. RNAcentral describes it as "partial 23S ribosomal RNA". It matches the Rfam family "Bacterial large subunit ribosomal RNA", at positions 550 to 1253 of the family's 2925-position model. Lineage: Bacteria; Pseudomonadati; Pseudomonadota; Gammaproteobacteria; Enterobacterales; Enterobacteriaceae. The record is from RNAcentral.